Molecule: ribosomal RNA, 253 nt
Filed under: uncultured bacterium
Lineage: Bacteria
Description: partial 16S ribosomal RNA
Rfam family: Bacterial small subunit ribosomal RNA
Source: RNAcentral
GACGUAGGGGGCCAGCGUUGUUCGGAAUUACUGGGCGUAAAGGGCUCGUAGGCGGCCAACUAAGUCAGACGUGAAAUCCCUCGGCUUAACCUGGGAACUGCGUCCGAUACUGGAUGGCUUGAAUUCGGGAGAGGGAUGCAGAAUUCCAGGUGUAGCGGUGAAAUGCGUAGAUAUCUGGAGGAAUACCGGUGGCGAAGGCGGCAUCCUGGACCGACAUUGACGCUGAACGGCGAAAGCUAGGGGAGCAAACGGG